Hypanus sabinus (Atlantic stingray) is the source of this 884-nucleotide long non-coding RNA. RefSeq lists it as uncharacterized. The record is from RefSeq and is a predicted model, not a curated record. NCBI's taxonomy places the organism in Eukaryota, Metazoa, Chordata, Chondrichthyes, Myliobatiformes, Dasyatidae. The transcript has 3 exons.
UCCCAGAACCAAUCCCCCAUGGAUAAGGAGGGCUGACAGUAUUUACAAGCUGCCACUGUAUUUAAUGUGUAAAGAACAUUAUGAUUCCUGAUGGGCUACUAUGUGGCUUCGGCUUCUCAUGAUGUUACUUGGGAGGCUACAUUGAAACAUUCAUGCUGGCGGUGGUACCAGACUAUGAUCAGGCAAAUAGAUCUAUCCAUGUAAACUGGGACAAGGAGAUGAUAAAAGGAAGCAGAUGAACACCUGGAAGAAAUAAACAUGCAAAGCUACAAGGAUUAGGUGAAGGAAUGGGACCAAAUGGAUUAUACUGCGGAUAGUCAACUGGACAAUGAUCAAGUAGCCACCUUCUGUGUUGUAUCUUUGACUCUACAUCUGUUGAACUUCAGAAAAGGAGUGGAAGCAAAUCAUCCUUGAACCCGAGGGAUGCCUGAGAAGGGGUAUAAAAACACUAAUGUACUUUUUGAGUUUCUGACUCUUCCAAGACAUUCUUCAGAUGACAGCCUGCCUGCUCAUGAUGAAUAAAGACUUUAAUAUCAUCGGCAUCAAUGUCUCCCGGGUAAUUUCAGUAAGUCACAACAUUCUCUGCAAAGGGGUUCUGCAAAAUGAACCUUUCGCUAUUUUUCAGUGAAUAUUUUUCAAGCCUUAAUUUGGUGAUGAUUUCUUAAUGGGUGGAGAGAAGAAAAGUGAGAAACAAUUGCAGAGGCAAUCUGUGUUGUUUAGUCAGGUUAAUGUUUUAUCUCCUCUGUGGGCUGAUUGUUCAGCCAUCUGGAGCAUUCAGACCUGUGAAUAAAGCACAUUAUAAGACUUAAAACAGAUACUUGACACGUGGUCUUAAAACCACAUCCAUCAUCACAAUGCACACUUUUGCUUCUUACAUUUUUUAA